AUUGAACGCUGGCGGCAUGCCUUACACAUGCAAGUCGAACGGUAACAGGUCUUCGGAUGCUGACGAGUGGCGAACGGGUGAGUAAUACAUCGGAACGUGCCCGAGAGUGGGGGAUAACGGAGCGAAAGCUUUGCUAAUACCGCAUACGAUCUCAGGAUGAAAGCAGGGGACCGCAAGGCCUUGCGCUCACGGAGCGGCCGAUGGCAGAUUAGGUAGUUGGUGGGAUAAAGCUUACCAAGCCGACGAUCUGUAGCUGGUCUGAGAGGACGACCAGCCACACUGGGACUGAGACACGGCCCAGACUCCUACGGGAGGCAGCAGUGGGGAAUUUUGGACAAUGGGCGCAAGCCUGAUCCAGCCAUGCCGCGUGCAGGAUGAAGGCCUUCGGUUGUAAAGCUGCUUUGUACGGAACGAAAUGACCCUUCUAAUAAAAGGGGGUCCAUGACGGUACCGUAAGAAUAAGCACCGGCUAACUACGUGCCAGCAGCCGCGGUAAUACGUAGGGUGCGAGCGUUAAUCGGAAUUACUGGGCGUAAAGCGUGCGCAGGCGGUGAUGUAAGACAGAUGUGAAAAUCCCCCGGGGCUCAACCUGGGAACUGCAUUUGUGACUGCAUCGCUGGAGUGCGGCAGAGGGGGAUGGAAUUCCGCGUGUAGCAGUGAAAUGCGUAGAUAUGCGGAGGAACACCGAUGGCGAAGGCAAUCCCCUGGGCCUGCACUGACGCUCAUGCA
Molecule: ribosomal RNA, 729 nt
Filed under: uncultured bacterium
Lineage: Bacteria
Description: bacterial SSU rRNA
Rfam family: Bacterial small subunit ribosomal RNA
Source: RNAcentral